This 735-nucleotide ribosomal RNA is filed under the name uncultured Staphylococcus sp. Its description in RNAcentral is "bacterial SSU rRNA". It matches the Rfam family "Bacterial small subunit ribosomal RNA", at positions 63 to 780 of the family's 1533-position model. Lineage: Bacteria; Bacillati; Bacillota; Bacilli; Caryophanales; Staphylococcaceae. The record is from RNAcentral.
CGAGCGAACGGACGAGAAGCUUGCUUCUCUGAUGUUAGCGGCGGACGGAUGAGUAACACGUGGAUAACCUACCUAUAAGACUGGGAUAACUUCGGGAAACCGGAGCUAAUACCGGAUAAUAUUUUGAACCGCAUGGUUCAAAAGUGAAAGACGGUCUUGCUGUCACUUAUAGAUGGAUCCGCGCUGCAUUAGCUAGUUGGUAAGGUAACGGCUUACCAAGGCAACGAUGCAUAGCCGACCUGAGAGGGCGAUCGGCCACACUGGAACUGAGACACGGUCCAGACUCCUACGGGAGGCAGCAGUAGGGAAUCUUCCGCAAUGGGCGAAAGCCUGACGGAGCAACGCCGCGUGCGUGAUGAAGGUCUUCGGAUCGUAAAACUCUGUUAUUAGGGAAGAACAUAUGUGUAAGUAACUGCGCACAUCUUGACGGUACCUAAUCAGAAAGCCACGGUUAACUACGUGCCAGCAGCCGCGGUAAUACGUAGGUGGCAAGCGUUAUCCGGAAUUAUUGGGCGUAAAGCGCGCGUAGGCGGUUUUUUAAGUCUGAUGUGAAAGCCCACGGCUCAACCGUGGGGGGUCAUUGGAAACUGGAAAACUUGAGUGCAGAAGAGGAAAGUGGAAUUCCAUGUGUAGCGGUGAAAUGCGCAGAGAUAUGGAGGAACACCAGUGGCGAAGGCGACUUUCUGGUCUGUAACUGACGCUGAUGUGCGAAAGCGUGGGGAUCAAACAGGAUUA